RNAcentral lists this ribosomal RNA (411 nucleotides) under Escherichia coli. Its description in RNAcentral is "partial 23S ribosomal RNA". It matches the Rfam family "Bacterial large subunit ribosomal RNA", at positions 1 to 451 of the family's 2925-position model. The record is from RNAcentral. Lineage: Bacteria; Pseudomonadati; Pseudomonadota; Gammaproteobacteria; Enterobacterales; Enterobacteriaceae.
GGUUAAGCGACUAAGCGUACACGGUGGAUGCCCUGGCAGUCAGAGGCGAUGAAGGACGUGCUAAUCUGCGAUAAGCGUCGGUGAGGUGAUAUGAACCGUUAUAACCGGCGAUUUCCGAAUGGGGAAACCCAGUGUGUUUCGACACACUAUCAUUAACUGAAUCCAUAGGUUAAUGAGGCGAACCGGGGGAACUGAAACAUCUAAGUACCCCGAGGAAAAGAAAUCAACCGAGAUUCCCCCAGUAGCGGCGAGCGAACGGGGAGGAGCCCAGAGCCUGAAUCAGUGUGUGUGUUAGUGGAAGCGUCUGGAAAGGCGCGCGAUACAGGGUGACAGCCCCGUACACAAAAAUGCACAUAUUGUGAGCUCGAUGAGUAGGGCGGGACACGUGGUAUCCUGUCUGAAUAUGGGGGG